AUUGAACGCUGGCGGCAGGCUUAACACAUGCAAGUCGAGCGGAGAGAGGUAGCUUGCUACUGAUCUUAGCGGCGGACGGGUGAGUAAUGCUUAGGAAUCUGCCUAUUAGUGGGGGACAACAUUUCGAAAGGAAUGCUAAUACCGCAUACGUCCUACGGGAGAAAGCAGGGGAUCUUCGGACCUUGCGCUAAUAGAUGAGCCUAAGUCGGAUUAGCUAGUUGGUGGGGUAAAGGCCUACCAAGGCGACGAUCUGUAGCGGGUCUGAGAGGAUGAUCCGCCACACUGGGACUGAGACACGGCCCAGACUCCUACGGGAGGCAGCAGUGGGGAAUAUUGGACAAUGGGCGCAAGCCUGAUCCAGCCAUGCCGCGUGUGUGAAGAAGGCCUUAUGGUUGUAAAGCACUUUAAGCGAGGAGGAGGCUACUUUAGUUAAUACCUAGAGAUAGUGGACGUUACUCGCAGAAUAAGCACCGGCUAACUCUGUG
Molecule: ribosomal RNA, 485 nt
Filed under: uncultured bacterium
Lineage: Bacteria
Description: partial 16S ribosomal RNA
Rfam family: Bacterial small subunit ribosomal RNA
Source: RNAcentral